Molecule: long non-coding RNA, 2566 nt
Filed under: Homo sapiens (human)
Lineage: Eukaryota; Metazoa; Chordata; Mammalia; Primates; Hominidae
Description: HSALNT0137735
Source: RNAcentral
CUUGAACCCAGGAGGUGGAGGUUGCAGUGAGCCAAUAUCACGCCACUGCACUCCAGCCUGGGUGACAGGGCGAGACUUUGUCUCAAAAAAAAUAAAAAUAAAUUAAAAAAAAAUUGUAAAAACAUUCCAACAAAAUUUUUGCAUUUAAUCUGAACACACACACACACACAUGCACACACACACACACACAGAUAUUGUAGGUUUAGUUUCCAGAUCACCACAAUAAAUUGAAUAUUGCAAUAAAGUGAGGCACAUGAAUUUUUUUAUUUCCCAUUGCAUAUAAAAGUUAUGCUUGCACUACACUGCAGCCUAUUAAGUGUGCAAUAGCAUUAUGUCUAAAAAUAAUGCAUACAUUGUUUACAAAUAUCUUAUUGCUAAAAAAUGCUAACAAUCAUCUGAGCCUUCAGUGAGUCAUAGUCAUUUUGCUGGUGGAGGGUCUUGCCUCAAUACUGAUGGCUGCUGACUGAUCAGGGUGGUGGUUGCUGAAGGUUGGAAUGGUGGUGACAACUUCUUAAAAUAAGACAGUAAUAAAGUUUGCCACCCUCAUUGACUCUUUCUUCACAGAAAAUUUCUAUGUUAUUUGCAAUGCUGUUUGAUAGCAUUUUACCCACAGUAGAACUUCUCACAAAACUGGAGUCAAUCCUCUCAAAUCCAGCUACUGCUUUUUCAACUGAGUUUAUAUAAUAUUUUGAGUCCUUUGCUGUCAUCUCAACAGUGUUCACAGCAUCUUUGCCAGGAGUAGAUUCCAUUUCAAGAAACCACUUUCUUUGUUCAUUUACAAGAAGUAACUCCUCAUCCUUCAAAUUUGAUCAUGAGAUUAAAACAAUUCAGUCUCAUCUUCCGGCUCCAUUUCUCAUUCUGGUUCUCUUGUUAUUUCUUUCACAUCUGCAGUUACUUCCUCCACUGAAGUCUUGAACCCCUAAAAGGCAUCCAUGAGUACUGGAAUUAACUUCAUCUAAACUUCUGUUAAUGUUGAUAUUUUGAUAUUCUCCACGAAUCAUGAAUUUCUUUUUAAUAAACAAAUCUCUAUGCUACUAGGUACAAUAGCAUGGAAAUUGAGAGAACACCAAAGCGAGAAGAAAACUGGGAUAAAACUUAUGCAUCUGCAGAAGAGAAGAAACAGGAAAGCACGCCUCAUUGACAUGGGGAAAAAAGCAGCAAGCAGAAACUAUCUGUGAGGGAUCUCAGAUGUUGGACUUAGUACACAAAGAGUUCAAAGCAUCCAUUAUAAAUAUAUAGAACUAAAGCAAAGUGUAUUUUUAACAAUUAAAAGUAAGUAUAAUGACAAUUACUUAUUAAAUAGAGAACAUUAGUGUAAACAUAGAAAGUAUAAUUACUAUUACAUAUGUGUACAUAUAUGAACACAUAUAUGAAUCCAAUGGAAAUUCAGUACAAUCAUUUAAAUGAAAAAGACACUAGAGGAGCUCAACAGCAGAUAUGAACCAUCAAAAAACAACAACAAAAACACACUGAACUUGAAGCUAGAUGAAUAGAGACUGUCGAGUCUGAAGAACAGAAAGAAAAUUUAAGAAAAUAAGCAGAGCUUUAGAGAUCUGUUGGAACAAUUAACAUAUUGAUAAAUACACAGUGGGAAUCUUAGAAAGAGAAGAAAGGAGGCCGGGCGCGGUGGCUCACGCCUGUUAUCCCAACACUUUGGGAGGCCGAGGCGGGCGGAUCACGAGGUCAGGAGAUCGAGACCAUCCUGGUUAACACGGUGAAGCCCCGUCUCUACUAAAAAUACAAAAAAUUAGCUGGGUGUGGCGGCGGGCACCUGCAGUCCCAGCUACUCAGGAGGCUGAGGCAGGAGAAUGGCGUGAACCCGGGAGGCAGAGCUUUCAGUGAGCCAAGAUCACGCCACUGCACUCCAGCCUGGGCGACACAGCGAGACUCCGUCUCAAAAAAAAAAAAAAAGCAAAAAAAAAAAAAGAGAAGAAAGGAGAAAGAAGGAAGGAAAGACAGACAGAGAAAUAAAACAAAUAGUUUUUUUAAAAGCUAAAACACUUCCUAAAUGUGAAGAAAAGCAUUAAUCUACACUUGUAAAAAGCUCAAGAGACUCCAAGUAGAAUAAUAGUCAGAGUCAAACAUUUCAAAUCUAAAGAUUAAGAAACAAUUCGGAAAGCACAAGAACAAGGCAACUGAAUAUGUACAAGAGAAUCAUAAUAAGAUUAAUAGGUGACUUCUCUUGAGAAACAAUGAGGAAAAUAGAAUGACAUAUUGAAGAGAAUGACCUAUUAAAAGAGCUGACAGGAAAAAACUGUCAAUCAAGAUUAUUGUAUUCAAUAAAACUAUCCUUUGAUGAUGAAUAGAAAUAAAGUUAUUUCCAGGUAAACAAAGAGUGCAUUGCUAACAGAUCUGUCUUAUAAGAAAUGCUAAAGAAAGACCUUCAAGUCAAAGGAAAUACAAGAGGGUAACUUGAGUCCACACAAAGAAUUACAUUUCACAGAUAAAGGACAGCAAUUCCUGGUAUCUUAAUAAGUACAAUGGGAUGGCUACACCCUGCUUAAUGGAUAUGAGCUUUAGAGAAUAAUGUCAUUUCUGAACACCUAACAAAUUUCACAAUUAAGAA